Bradysia coprophila is the source of this 341-nucleotide long non-coding RNA. The record is from RefSeq and is a predicted model, not a curated record. NCBI's taxonomy places the organism in Eukaryota, Metazoa, Arthropoda, Insecta, Diptera, Sciaridae.
UUUGCCAUAAUUCGAAGAAAUUUUAGGCUUCUUGAGCAAUCCAUUUACACAACAAAAAACGAAUUUACAAACUGCAAAUUCAUACAUACGCGGCACGGUCAGCAUCUUCGGGAACUGCGUACUAAACAGUUGCUCGGUCGGGUACCUCAAUGGCAACCGGUCAAAUGGCAGUGAACGGUAGAAAAGUAAAUUAAGCGAAGGAUCUUCUUUGGCAGAAAUCGAAGACGCUUGAGGACUCCAACUCUUCGAGAUAUGAUUGAGCACAAAGAGGAAAUGUGAUCAUCCCAACUCAGGAAUUGAUCAAGAGUCAAGCCGAGACACUUUACAGAAGGAAAGGCUCU